UUGAACGCUGGCGGCAGGCCUAACACCUGCAAGUCGAGCGGAUGAAGGGAGCUUGCUCCUGGAUUCAGCGGCGGACGGGUGAGUAAUGCCUAGGAAUCUGCCUGGUAGUGGGGGAUAACGUCCGGAAACGGGCGCUAAUACCGCAUACGUCCUGAGGGAGAAAGUGGGGGAUCUUCGGACCUCACGCUAUCAGAUGAGCCUAGGUCGGAUUAGCUAGUUGGUGGGGUAAAGGCCUACCAAGGCGACGAUCCGUAACUGGUCUGAGAGGAUGGUCAGUCACACUGGAACUGAGACACGGUCCAGACUCCUACGGGAGGCAGCAGUGGGGAAUAUUGGACAAUGGGCGAAAGCCUGAUCCAGCCAUGCCGCGUGUGUGAAGAAGGUCUUCGGAUUGUAAAGCACUUUAAGUUGGGAGGAAGGGCAGUAAGUUAAUACCUUGCUGUUUUGACGUUACCAACAGAAUAAGCACCGGCUAACUUCGUG
This 483-nucleotide ribosomal RNA is filed under the name uncultured bacterium. RNAcentral's name for it is "partial 16S ribosomal RNA". It matches the Rfam family "Bacterial small subunit ribosomal RNA", at positions 30 to 507 of the family's 1533-position model. The record is from RNAcentral.